GACGAACGCUGGCUGCGUGCUUAACACAUGCAAGUCGAACGCUGAAGCUCGCAGCUUGCUGUGGGUGGAUGAGUGGCGAACGGGUGAGUAACACGUGAGUAACCUGCCCCUGACUGCGGGAUAAGCCCGGGAAACUGGGUCUAAUACCGCAUAUGACACUUGGCCGCAUGGUCAGAGUGUGGAAAGUUUUUCGGUUGGGGAUGGGCUCGCGGCCUAUCAGCUUGUUGGUGGGGUAAAGGCCUACCAAGGCGACGACGGGUAGCCGGCCUGAGAGGGCGACCGGCCACACUGGGACUGAGACACGGCCCAGACUCCUACGGGAGGCAGCAGUGGGGAAUAUUGCACAAUGGGGGAAACCCUGAUGCAGCGACGCCGCGUGAGGGAUAACGGCCUUCGGGUU
Molecule: ribosomal RNA, 400 nt
Filed under: uncultured bacterium
Lineage: Bacteria
Description: bacterial SSU rRNA
Rfam family: Bacterial small subunit ribosomal RNA
Source: RNAcentral